Molecule: ribosomal RNA, 465 nt
Filed under: uncultured bacterium
Lineage: Bacteria
Description: partial 16S ribosomal RNA
Rfam family: Bacterial small subunit ribosomal RNA
Source: RNAcentral
CUACGGGGGGCUGCAGUGGGGAAUAUUGGACAAUGGGGGAAACCCUGAACCAGCAAUGCCGCGUGUGUGAAGAAGGCCUGCGGGUUGUAAAGCACUUUCGGUUGGGAGGACUGCUUCUAGCACUAAUAUUGUUGGAAGUUGACGUUACCUUCAGAAGAAGCACCGGCUAACUCCGUGCCAGCAGCGCGCGGUAAUACGGAGGGUGCAAGCGUUAAUCGGAAUUACUGGGCGUAAAGCGCGCGUAGGCGGCUGAUCAGUCGGGUGUGAAAGCCCCGGGCUUAACCUGGGAACUGCAUCCGAUACUGUCUAGCUUGAGUACAGGAGAGGAGAGUGGAAUUCCACAUGUAGCGGUGAAAUGCGUAGAUAUGUGGAGGAACACCAAUGGCGAAGGCAGCUCUCUGGCCUGAUACUGGCGCUGAGGUGCGAAAGCGUGGGGAGCAAACAGGAUUAGAUACCCCCGUAGUC